AAACAAUGAUAAUGAAAUAUUUUUAAUCGUUCUAAAUUUAUGCUACAGUUAUGGUCGUAAAAGAUUAAAAAAAAUCUUAUGGGUGCAAUUAUUCCACUGACACCUGCGAAAUUACCAAAAGAACUGACCAUCGCUGUUUAUUGUAUUUUUUUAAAUGUUCUAGUUAAACAAUCUAACACUUAA
Molecule: long non-coding RNA, 183 nt
Organism: Hydra vulgaris (swiftwater hydra)
Lineage: Eukaryota; Metazoa; Cnidaria; Hydrozoa; Anthoathecata; Hydridae
Source: RefSeq, a predicted model, not a curated record